GACGAACGCUGGCGGCGUGCUUAACACAUGCAAGUCGAACGGAAAGGCCCUGCUUGCAGGGUACUCGAGUGGCGAAGGGGUGAGUAACACGUGGGUGAUCUGCCCUGCACUUCGGGAUAAGCCUGGGAAACUGGGUCUAAUACCGGAUAGGAGCCAUUUCGAGUGUGAUGGGUGGAAAGUUUUUUCGGUGUUGGGUGAGCGCGCGGUCUAUCAGCUUGUUGGUGGGGUAACGGCCUACCAAGGCGGCGACGGGUAGCCGGUCUGAGAGGGUGGACGGCCACACUGGGGCUGGGACCCGGCCCAGACUGCUGCGGGAAGCAGCAGUGGGGAAUAUUGGAGGCUGGGCGAGAGCCUGAUCCAGCGGUGCCGCGUGAGGGGUGCAGGCGUUAGGGUUGUAAAGCUCUUUUACCCGGGAUGAUAAUGACAGUACCGGGAGAAUAAGCUCCGGCUAACUCCGUG
RNAcentral lists this ribosomal RNA (459 nucleotides) under uncultured bacterium. Its description in RNAcentral is "partial 16S ribosomal RNA". It matches the Rfam family "Bacterial small subunit ribosomal RNA", at positions 28 to 507 of the family's 1533-position model. The record is from RNAcentral.